AGAUGUGAGUGAUCUGGCUGUGAUAUCUGUUACACUGUUGAUUGCUAAUCAACUGAUCUGACUGGGUAGAUCACCAGUCACCAUCCCAUGUGCAUAUUUCCUGAAGCUGCAAGCUUGAAGAGGACAGCAUUCUCAGAUAGUGGAGGGCCUUUCUUUAGUCACCGAUAUAUGCACACCUGUACUCCCUUGCUAGAGCAUCUAAAGGAGCUGUCAAAAUCAAAAGCAUUUUGGUUAUUCAAAUAUAGUAACAUAAGAAGAUAAAUUCAGGAAGAAAAAAAUGAAAUACAUGUUGUUGU
Mesocricetus auratus (golden hamster) is the source of this 296-nucleotide non-coding RNA. NCBI's taxonomy places the organism in Eukaryota, Metazoa, Chordata, Mammalia, Rodentia, Cricetidae. The record is from Rfam.